UACGUAGGGUGCGAGCGUUAAUCGGAAUUACUGGGCGUAAAGCGUGCGCAGGCGGUUUUGUAAGCCAGAUGUGAAAUCCCCGGGCUUAACCUGGGAAUGGCAUUUGGGACUGCAAGGCUGGAGUGCGGCAGAGGAGACUGGAAUUCCUGGUGUAGCAGUGAAAUGCGUAGAUAUCAGGAGGAACACCGGUGGCGAAGGCGGCGACCUGGGUAGAUACUGACGCUGAGGCGCGAAAGCGUGGGGAGCAAACAGG
Molecule: ribosomal RNA, 253 nt
Filed under: uncultured bacterium
Lineage: Bacteria
Description: partial 16S ribosomal RNA
Rfam family: Bacterial small subunit ribosomal RNA
Source: RNAcentral